UUCGCGUUUUCCAUUUUAAUUUAGGUAGGUACCAGGUCGGUACCUUUGGACUGUCUUUAUCACAUGACUCGUGUGUUUGUCCGGGUGAUCUGUACAUCCAUCUCAGCAUUUCAGUGUCGCUGAAUAUCAUAUUUUAAACUGUAACCUUCAUGGAUAUGGUUGAACAGAGUUUGGACAGCUAUUAGAGAGGGUGUGGUGACGGAGGAGCAGACUGCAGUUACCAUACAGAGUGUACAGCAGGCCGCAGCUUUUGCGGAUCAUAAUGUUCAAUACCAGUUCUGCACAGAGGACAGUUGACCUAUCAUGUGGUCUAGGUGACAGAUGACCAGCUAGAGGCAGCAGCGACGGUACUGGGGCAGUCAGUGUGGUCUUCACUGC
Molecule: long non-coding RNA, 378 nt
Organism: Oncorhynchus masou masou (cherry salmon)
Lineage: Eukaryota; Metazoa; Chordata; Actinopteri; Salmoniformes; Salmonidae
Exons: 3
Source: RefSeq, a predicted model, not a curated record